This 431-nucleotide ribosomal RNA is filed under the name uncultured bacterium. RNAcentral's name for it is "partial 16S ribosomal RNA". It matches the Rfam family "Bacterial small subunit ribosomal RNA", at positions 29 to 507 of the family's 1533-position model. The record is from RNAcentral.
AACGAACGCUGGCGGCAGGCUUAACACAUGCAAGUCGAGCGCCCCGCCAGGGGGGCGGCAGACUGGUGAGUAGCGCGUGGGGACCUACCCUUAUCUUCGGGAUAGCUCCGGGAAACGGGAAUUAAUACCGAAGGUGCCCUAUGGGGGAACGAUUUAUCGGAUACGGAUCGGCCCGCGUGGGAUUAGCUCGUUGGUGGGGUGAAGGCGUACCAAGGCGACGAUCCAUAGCUGGUCAGAGAGGAUGAUCAGCCACAUUGGGAGUGAGACACGGCCCAGACUCCUACGGGAGGGAGCAGUGGGGAAUAUUGGACAAUGGGCGCAAGCCUGAUCCAGCCAUGCCGCGUGAGUGAUGAAGGCCUUAGGGUUGUAAAGCUCUUUCACCGGAGAAGAUAAUGACGGUAACCGGAGAAGAAGCCCCGGCUAACUUCGUG